RNAcentral lists this unclassified non-coding RNA (325 nucleotides) under air metagenome. Its description in RNAcentral is "partial contains small subunit ribosomal RNA, internal transcribed spacer 1, and 5.8S ribosomal RNA". The stretch from base 1 to 46 matches the Rfam family "Eukaryotic small subunit ribosomal RNA", at positions 1786 to 1831 of the family's 1831-position model. The record is from RNAcentral.
AAGUCGUAACAAGGUUUCCGUAGGUGAACCUGCGGAAGGAUCAUUAUUGAAUGUACUUGCAAUAGGUUGAAGCUGACUUUUCGGAGUAUGUGCUCGCCUUUUGUAACUUACUACUUUUCCACUUGUGAACCUUUGUAGACUAUGAAUGAAAUAAACUCAUCUGAAAAUGGUGGUUAAGAGAGGUUUGUUCUUACAGAGCAUCCUUUUGUUAGUAGUUCAUAGUCUAUGUUAUAUUUACCCUUGAUUGAAUGUUAAUGAAUGUCAUUUUACUGGUCUUUGACCUUUAAACUUAAUACAACUUUCAGCAACGGAUCUCUUGGCUCUC